This 347-nucleotide ribosomal RNA is filed under the name uncultured Cellulomonas sp. RNAcentral describes it as "bacterial SSU rRNA". It matches the Rfam family "Bacterial small subunit ribosomal RNA", at positions 1037 to 1382 of the family's 1533-position model. Lineage: Bacteria; Bacillati; Actinomycetota; Actinomycetes; Micrococcales; Cellulomonadaceae. The record is from RNAcentral.
GGUGCUGCAUGGCUGUCGUCAGCUCGUGUCGUGAGAUGUUGGGUUAAGUCCCGCAACGAGCGCCAACCCUCGUCCUAUGUUGCCAGCGGGUCAUGCCGGGGACUCAUGGGAGACUGCCGGGGUCAAACUCGGAGGAAGUGGGAUGACGUCAAAUCAUCAUGCCCCUUAUGUCUUGGGCUUCACGCAUGCUACAAUGGCCGGUACAAAGGGCUGCGAUACCGCGAGGUGGAGCGAAUCCCAGAAAGCCGGUCUCAGUUCGGAUUGGGGUCUGCAACUCGACCCCAUGAAGUCGGAGUCGCUAGUAAUCGCAGAUCAGCAACGCUGCGGUGAAUACGUUCCCGGGCCUU